Daphnia pulex (common water flea) is the source of this 1168-nucleotide long non-coding RNA. RefSeq lists it as uncharacterized. Lineage: Eukaryota; Metazoa; Arthropoda; Branchiopoda; Diplostraca; Daphniidae. The record is from RefSeq and is a predicted model, not a curated record. The transcript is spliced from 4 exons.
GGCACAUGGUGUUUUGUGUGUACGACUUAACGUGUCUACAUAGUUUGUGUUCAAAAUCCCCAUCGAGAUGUGCAAGCUGAUCCAGACCUGAUUUCUGUCAUUGCUGUUGCAGCAUAUUAAGUGUCAUCGUGGUGUCAUCAAAAACAACAAAUUAUUGUGAUGUAUCAAACAAAUGGUCUUCUAUCUCUCAAAGUGCCGUUGAUCUCGAAGGCCCAUUCCGGCGGAGCGGGAAAUUUGAUUUCGGCAAACAUGGUGCUACAGAUCAAGGUGAUGUUGCUGCCUUCCGGCGGAUCGUCAGGUUCCCCGACUCUGAUUUCCUGUCAUCAGAAGUUGGUGAGGUGUUAAGUGACGGUGAGGUGUUAAGAAAUCUGCCAGAUUGACCAGGACUCGUGUUCAUCACCAAAUUAUUUCAUGUAGUAAUUUACCUGUUAAGUGAACACUAAGAUUAUAUUGUGAUUCCUUUUCCUAAGUUGAGACAUCAACAUUUUCGUAAAAGGUUUUUUUUUGUGUUAGGAUUCAUUUUUGACAGGAAAAUUAAAAGGAGGGAUUUUUUUUGGGGGGGAAGGAGUUAAUUUGGAUUCUUUAAUUUUAUUUCUGAAGGUGGACGAGGUCGCAAGAUUCAAACUUAACUGUAAAUUCCUUGACCCUUGUUCUGUGGCGUUGGAGGACAGCGUCAUUUGACAGAAUUUUCGAGUAUUGUACAUUUCUUUUGUUCCUGUUCCCAGAAAAUUGACUCAGUUUCAGCCAUGUCAAGCGAUUUCGUAAGGAAUGGUCUCAAUUAGAUAAUGUUUUUUAUUAGCUUGACUUUACUUCUCCCCGAGAUUAGUUGCUCCUGACUAGUAAUUGCUAUUUUCCGUAUCGACUUCUUCCUAAUAGUAAUUGCCACAAUCUUCUCCUGACUGAAUGUCUUGGAUGCAGUUUUAUCAUGGCCAUGUUUACAGUUUGACUGAUGGGAGGUUUCACGCAGUCAUACAAUUAACACAGAUUGGGAUAAAUUUUGUUCUUUCAUUUGAAGACAUUUCUAAAAAGAUUUCCCGAACAUCAACCAGCUCUUUCUCUUGCUAAAUAAACUGUAUAUAUUCGUUUACGAUAUGUAGUGUGUUUAAAAGUAUUGAUUCUUAAAGUUGAGAUGUGUAAUUAAAAACAGAAAUAAAUAGUUGGAAUUGCA